UACGUAGGUGGCGAGCGUUAUUCGGAUUUACUGGGCGUAAAGGAUCCGUAGGGGGUCUGUUAAGUCUGAUGUGAAAUUUCGGGGCUCAACCCCGAAGCUGCAUUGGAUACUGGCAGACUCGAGUCCGUGAGAGGUAAGUGGAAUUCGUGGUGUAGCGGUGGAAUGCGUAGAUAUCACGAGGAACAUCAAAGGCGAAAGCAGCUUACUGGCACGGUACUGACCCUGAUGGAUGAGAGCUAGGGUAGCGAAAAGGAUUAGAUACCCGGGUAGUCC
RNAcentral lists this ribosomal RNA (273 nucleotides) under uncultured bacterium. RNAcentral describes it as "partial 16S ribosomal RNA". It matches the Rfam family "Bacterial small subunit ribosomal RNA", at positions 524 to 796 of the family's 1533-position model. The record is from RNAcentral.